CCUCCCUGACCCUCGUCCCCUCCAUCCCGGCACCCCGUGCCCACCCGUCCCUGGUUGUCCCCCGAACGACUGCGUGUGCACCGGGGUCUGCGUGCAGCCGCCACCCUCAUGCCCUGCUGCCUGCAAGACCCUAGGGGCUUCGUCAUUUUUUCUUUUCAUCCUUUCACAGCCAGUCCCAUUCCCCCUAUUUUGGGAAAUACAUGUUCUAUCUUUGUGAGAUACUUCGUGGUUGAGGCUUUAACUUCAUUCUGUAAUUCCUAUGUCUGGGGCACCAGUAUUUACAGGUCCUGGGCCACGGCUGUGAGCCCACCCACACCCCUGCAGGGGGGCAGAGAGAGGGGGUGCUCUGCACCAAGCCUGCACUCUCCCACACCUUGCAUGUUUUCACCUUUCUUAAGGGUCUCUAUGCUUUUCCAGAUUCAUGUAUGUUUCUGAAUGAUGCCCGCCAGGGGCUUCCAGCCCGUUUUACUGGUCUACUACUUCCUGAGGGGGGCUGCCUUCCAUUUCCCAUCCCUCAGAUAACCGGGGCACCCACCCCUUCGGACCCAGAAACCCACAUUCAUCCCAACUCCCUCAAAGCCCAGCUGCCCCUAGGUAAUACAACCCUUCUCCCAAAACCCCAAUGUCCCCCCUAACAUGCACACCCCCAGAUAAUCCAGACGCCCCUGUAGAUGAGCCAGACAACCUCAGAAAUAACCUAGGUGGUCCCUAGAUGGUCCAGACACGCUCCAGCUGACCCAGGUGCCCCUGGGUAUCCCUACAGCCCUCUGGGAACGCCGCAAGGGGUCCUGCUGGGAAAAUUUACCAUGUUGCCUUCUAGAAGGGCUGGACCACACUCGUCCCCAGAGAAAGAAGUUCUGUCCCCUCUCAGCUCUUGGCAUUAUUUGCUUUCUGGUAUCUGCCAUCCUAAGGGCUGGAAUGUGGUUUCACUGUUCUCUGUUUCCUUUUUCUGAUUCCCAGUGGCAUUAGUGCCUCCUCAAGCCUUCAGCGCACCAAGAGCCCACGUCUGUGGUUCAUUUGCAGAGUCUCGGACUCACAGCAGACUUCUGUUAAUCCAUUGUGAGGCCUCCAAGUCUGUCUGCUGGCUUUAUCCAGGGGGUCUGGAUAAAAGUCCGCAGUUUUGAUGUAGUCAAGACCACCGGCUGUAUUUUUUUUAGUGGUUUGUAGUGUUUUUUCUGUGACAUCACGGAGGCACCCAGUGUCGCUGCAGGCGCCGGACAGCUUGCCCUCCACACCCGUUCUUCCUGGCCUUCAAGCGGAUGUGUGGAAGCGUGCUUCGCUCCGGUGUCUCAGUGGAUUGAAGUAACCUGCAAGGCCACCAGGUGUCAUCAGCACAUCUGGAAUGGACUUGUCCUUGUAAUGGCUUUGCUGUUUGCCAAAUACGUGGAUCAGCAGGUACCCCCUUUACUCUUUCUCAACGAUGAUUUAAGUAUCCAUGACCUUUACUUUUCCAUAUACGUUUUAGAAAGACUUGGUCAAGUUUCUGGAAAGGAAAUCUAACUGGAAUACUGAGAUUGCCUUGAACGUAUACUAGCUUGAGGACAACAGAAAUGUGUACAGGUGCUAAGUUCUCCUGUCCAUGAACAUAGUAUGUUUAUUUAUUUAGGUCUUCUUUAUAUACUGUAAUAAAAGUAUAACCAUUUCUCUGUAAA
Molecule: long non-coding RNA, 1652 nt
Organism: Suricata suricatta (meerkat)
Lineage: Eukaryota; Metazoa; Chordata; Mammalia; Carnivora; Herpestidae
Exons: 2
Source: RefSeq, a predicted model, not a curated record